Molecule: long non-coding RNA, 868 nt
Organism: Acromyrmex echinatior (Panamanian leafcutter ant)
Lineage: Eukaryota; Metazoa; Arthropoda; Insecta; Hymenoptera; Formicidae
Source: RefSeq, a predicted model, not a curated record
CGAGUUUUGAUCAAAAAAAGGUUUCGCUAUGGGAGGCUUGGAAAGUUUGGGGGGUCUGCAAAAUCCACGAUUAAAGUGGAAUAGUUUUGAGAAAGACGUAGUUUCAUAUAAAGUGAGGAGGAAUAAGCGACAGACAAGGAGAAAGAAGAUCCUCCAAAAUUCGACCCGCCAACUAAUAAAAAUGAGGCGUCGAAUGACUUAUCGCUCAUGUUGACUCGCGAUUUGUCUGGGUUCAAUCCCAUCUGCGCCCAAGUAAGCGAUUUUCCGCUCCUUUUUAAGGAGCUGAAAAUGGCUCCAUCUGAUGAUUGAGAUUUUCAAUCACCAGCGCCGUUUGAAUCCGGCGUUAAACUGUAGACCCCAUAUAUUAGUACAUAUCCCUUAUAUAUAUGUACAGAUCCCUUAGGAUGGGACAUUAGAUUAACAACCUAAUUUCGGAAAAAAUUCAUUACGAAAACCUCAUGAAAGAUAGGCCCUGUUCCGCCUUGAGAUGUUGCACCAUCGAAUAAAUGAACGAAUGAAUGACUGAUAAAAAUAAAGCUAACACUAACAUCACGCAAACGUAGAGUAUUUUCAACUCUACAACGCUCGCGUUAGCAAAAGAGUAUCUAAAUAGGGGUUUAUUCUGUCCGAGUAGGAGUUUAUCCUGCCGACAGACUGCCGAGGGAUAAACCGAUUACCAUUAUUGCUAAUAUAGAUGAUCACGAUCGACCUAGCCAACAUUGAGUCAUCUUCCACAUCGAUUCUAGGGUCCGUCUAGGUCACAUCGAUGUGAAGCUGGCGCUCAACUUUAUCAAAAAUAAAAAUGGAUACCGUAGCGCGUUUGUACUUCGUUUGUACUUGUUUGUACUGAUCAUUAUUUCAUUUGUAC